AGUUUUUAAUCAAUUUUACAACUUUUAAGUGAAAAUUUAGGAGGGAAAAUUACCUCCAUAAUCAAUAAAUCAUUUAACUUGGUUAAAAUUUUAUAGGAAUAUUGGCAGAUAAACUCCCUCCAAGUCUCCAACUCCUCCAAGUGCAUAUAAAAAAAAAGUGAAAAAUCGUAGUAAAACUUCUCUAAAGUGGAAAAUCACUUAUGAUCCACACCAGAAAAUACCAUUAUCUUCUGAUUUCAAGCAUUUAUCCAUCAUCUACCUUACUCUAUUCUCUUUCUCAAGUGGGAAAUCUCAAAUUCAUAGGGAUUGACCCAUUUUGAUGAGUUCUACAAGUAGCUGAUGGCAUUGUUCUCUUUCGUGGAAAUUUGGGAAUUGAUCUCCCACUAGAGAAGGUCUAGUUCUUUUUCCCAUGGUGUUUUUGGAAAAUUAUGUGUAUUUCUUGAAUGUGAAUCAAGGUUUUAAUGAAGCAAUUUAAACAAUCUACAGACAAUGGUAUUUUUAUUCCAAAAGGCUGCUCUGCUCAAGUGUAACAUGGCUGGUAAGCCAGUAGUGGUUACUCGUGUGGUGGAUAGCAUGACUGAUAACCUUAAUUAGACCCACACGAGCUGAGGCAACUGAUGUUGCAAAUGCUGUAUUAGAUGGGAGUAAUGCAAUUAUUCUAGGUGCAGAGACCUUUCGUAGCUUAUAUCCAGUUGAUACCAUCUCUACUGUUGGCAGAAUAUGUUUUGAGGUGUUUAUAUCUCAUGGCAGACGAUUAUGACCUUCAUUGUGUGGAGGAUUUGGAGGAUGACGAUGAUAGCUAUGAGGAUGAUCUUUAUGAUGUCAACAAGGAGAAUGAUUUGGGUGAGCCGGAAGAUCAGGCUCAAGAUGAGUUUGAGCGUAGGCUUGAAGAGUUUGAACUUUCAGCCAAACGUGCGUCUCCUAUUGAAAAUGCAAUUUCUGAGAUGGUUGGUGAGAAUUCUACUCCUCAAACUCAAAGCCAAGGACAUGAUGAUCAAAUGAACACCGGUGGUAGAGGGGGGGUUAAGGCACCAGCUAUGAGAAAGGGUAGGGGUCCAACGACAAGUUUUAAGAAGCCUACCGGUGCUAUGGUGUUGGAGUAUGACAACAAAGGACAACCUACGGGCGAAUGGCGUCGGGAAUAUGGAAACCAAGUUGGCAUGUGUGCGCGCAAAAUACCCAUUACGUUUGGUUGGCGGCAAGUACCUCCCGGCUUGAUUCAAACAUUUUGGGAUGAUACAAGGGCAAGUGUUUUGUUUGCACAUUUACACAAUUAUAAAUACCUUCACCUUACGGUUGUUUGUAAAUAGAAACUAGUUACUGCUUUUAUUUGUGCUUGCAGAAGCUGUUUAAUACUCGUAAUGAUGCCGACAAGAGAAGGUUGUUUGAAUCUUUAGUAGCGGAAAGAUUCAGAGGCUUCAAGACCUUCUUGACUAAUGGAUGGAUCUUGUGGCAUCGUCAAGGGAGUUUGCAAGUGCUAAGGAUAAAUCACCUGUCGAUGCAAAGUUGUCAUACUACGGUCGAAUACAAGAAAUAUGGGACCUUCAAGACCUUCAAAAGAAGAAGAAGAAACGAAAGAACAAAGCCUGCAAGGGGAAGGAUAAUGAAGGUGGAAAUGACAAAGUUGUUGAGGAAGAAAAACUCCCAUGGCAAAUAUGGCCAAGUGUUAAGGAGGAUGAGUGGAAUGCCUUCGUUCUUCAAAGAAAUAAAAAAAAACGCUGUUGAACUUUGAGAGCAAAAUAUGGCAAAUGCAUUGCAGAAGGAGAACAUCCAUCGUAUGGGGGCCAAGACAUUUAGUGAAUGGAGGGUAACUUGGAUCAAAGAGAAAAUAUACCCCAUUUUGCUUGAAGGGUUAUCCAACGAAACCUCUAACUCCACGAUCACUACGUUAGUGAGUCGUGUUACGAUUUCAUUUGUUCCCUCCAUUUGUUUGAUAAAGAAACCGGAAAAUGGCUCAUCAAGGAACCGAAAACAAAAAAAAAUGGUUGAUAAACUUCUUGAGUACACUACAAAAGUUGUUCAAGGCAAGAUGGUCCCAACUGUAGAGAAAGAUCCUUUCACCUUGGCUUUGGGAAAGCCCUACCAUCCAGGAUGGGUAGUAGGUUAGGGGGGGACAUUGAUAGGAUGGGAAAAGGUGAUGGGUUCAUAAUAAACAAAAUCGGGAAGAUCUCGAUCAAGUGUUAACUUAUCGGGUGACUUGGAUGCCAAGGUAGCAUCAAUUAAGGAACAAGUCCGCAAUGAGUUAGUAGGUGAAUUCAAUGCUUGGGCGGAGCAAAUGAAUUUACCCUUGUCGUUCCCCUCAACUACACCGAUCAACUCAAGUAGUCACCCACAAGGACAAGGUGAACAUGAGAGACAUGGAGAAGAUGAGAUACAUGAGGUCGGUACUCCUACACAUGCGGACUUUAGGGCGCUUGAGCAUCCAACACUCCAUGAAUUUCCAGAUUUACAGGAAGAGACCCAGUGUGUACUUCUAGCCCCGGGGCUAUCAAAUAGUGUAUAUUUGCAUUUGGUGGCAUAUGGUUGUGCAUAAGCAACGACCGGUGAUACAGUCCAUUUUCGACCGCAUAGGCCACAACAUUACUCGGUCGGGAUCAAUUCUUUGAUUGAUGGGUUCGAAAACAUCCCACUACCGGUGCCCAUAGCGGAGGAUGGGAUUAGUAUACUUUGGGAAGCAAAAGGUAGCUAUGUGCAAUGGCCACGUGCUUGGGUAAGGUUGAUCAACGAGGUUUCUAAAGACUUAUCUUUGCAAAGGAUUCAAGAGGAGCAAAAAGAGCCAAGCAAAGGAGCUUUAAGUCUCAUGGAGAGGGCUUGGAGAGGGCUCGGAGAGGGCUCUCCUCUUUUUCUCAAAGACGCGGGCGCGGGACCCAUUGGGCCGCGGGCGCGGGUUUUGUGCACUCUUUGGGGAUUUUUUGGCAGGAACUCUCUGCGCCCUACCCGCGGGUGCGGAGAUGUUGGAGAGGGAGCUCCGUAUCAGAGAAACCGCGGGCUUGUAUUGGAAUAGCGCAUUUUGUCGCGCCCUGUGCCGCGGGCGCGGGUUUUACCCAGACUGCCCGCGGAGGUAGUUAUAGGUUCCGUAACCAUUUCUCUGCGCCCGCGGGGUCUUUAAGGAGAGGGCGCGACCGAUCAACUUUUGUUCUUUGCCUAUAUAUACUCUUGUAAAUCCUUUUGAAGGCCAACUUUUAGAUAAUAUUUCAUUUGCUUAA
Chenopodium quinoa (quinoa) is the source of this 3206-nucleotide RNA transcript. RefSeq lists it as uncharacterized. Lineage: Eukaryota; Viridiplantae; Streptophyta; Magnoliopsida; Caryophyllales; Amaranthaceae. The transcript has 10 exons. The record is from RefSeq and is a predicted model, not a curated record.